GUGCUUGCUUCGGCAGCACAUAUACUAAAAUUGCAAAGAUACAGAGAAGAUUAGCAUGGCCCCUGCACAAGGAUGACAUGCAAUUCGUAAAGCGUUCCAUAUUUUU
Molecule: small nuclear RNA, 106 nt
Filed under: Bison bison bison
Lineage: Eukaryota; Metazoa; Chordata; Mammalia; Artiodactyla; Bovidae
Source: RNAcentral